RNAcentral lists this transfer RNA (91 nucleotides) under Planctomycetota bacterium. RNAcentral's name for it is "Planctomycetes bacterium tRNA-Ser". It matches the Rfam family "tRNA". From Rfam's summary of the family: Transfer RNA (tRNA) molecules are approximately 80 nucleotides in length. Their secondary structure includes four short double-helical elements and three loops (D, anti-codon, and T loops). The record is from RNAcentral. Lineage: Bacteria; Pseudomonadati; Planctomycetota.
GGACAGGUGCCCGAGAGGCCGAAGGGGACGGUUUGCUAAACCGUUGUAUGGGUAAUUACCUGUACCGAGGGUUCGAAUCCCUCCCUGUCCG